UCCUACGGGGGGCAGCAGUAGGAAAUCUUCCACAAUGGACGAAAGUCUGAUGGAGCAACGCCGCGUGAGUGAAGAAGGGUUUCGGCUCGUAAAGCUCUGUUGGUAGUGAAGAAAGAUAGAGGUAGUAACUGGCCUUUAUUUGACGGUAAUUACUUAGAAAGUCACGGCUAACUACGUGCCAGCAGCCGCGGUAAUACGUAGGUGGCAAGCGUUGUCCGGAUUUAUUGGGCUUAAAGCGAGUGCAGGCGGU
RNAcentral lists this ribosomal RNA (250 nucleotides) under uncultured bacterium. RNAcentral's name for it is "partial 16S ribosomal RNA". It matches the Rfam family "Bacterial small subunit ribosomal RNA", at positions 337 to 579 of the family's 1533-position model. The record is from RNAcentral.